This 1079-nucleotide long non-coding RNA is filed under the name Homo sapiens (human). RNAcentral describes it as "non-protein coding lnc-OMA1-2:1". Lineage: Eukaryota; Metazoa; Chordata; Mammalia; Primates; Hominidae. The record is from RNAcentral.
GAUAGUCAUUUUUUUCUUUCAUCUACAUUAUAUAUGAUUUUUCCUUCCCUAGAAGUUUAGUCUAAUAUUAUAAUGAUCUCUUUAUUUAUGUGUGUUCAAAAUAGACCAGGAGUUACUUGACAGUAGUGAUGUGUGUGAUUCAUCUCCAGGACAUUGUAUUUAGGGCAAGGCUCAAAGGGGUUUAGGUACAGAAUAAAUGGUUCUAACCCUGACUAUCCAAAUGUAUUUCAUUUAACAAUGGAUUGUAGGAAAUGAUUUGUUUGUGAUAUCCAAAUGUAUUUCAUUUAACAAUGGAUUGUAAGAAAUAAUUUGUGUAUAUGGCAUCACAUGGACUAAAAUGUUUCAAAUAAAAAAAGUUUCAAGAUGACUAAUGUUCUGAAAUAAUAAUAAUAAUUACAUACUUUUCUGCUUUUUAAAAGAGUAUGACUCGAAAUAUCAUAAACAUCAAUUAUUAUGCUGAGCUAUAUCAAGAAUAUUCUUAAGGACUAUUUAGAUACAUGAGAUUAUUUGCCCCUAUAUGUAUGAGUAGCUCCAGACAUAUGGAUAUAUGGAUUUUAAAUUCUCAUAUCUUUAUGUGUGGAUUUAAAAUUCUCAUAUCUAUUUUUUAUACUUUUGUCAACUCUCCUCACUGUCAGAUUGUGUUAUCAUGUCUUGGUAAUAUCAGUUUAUCUGCCUUUAAAAACUGUCCUGUAUGUUGUCAAACUCUUGAACAGCAAAGGAAAAGAAAAGAGGUCCUCUUCUCUUUCUAUUCAUCUUUGUAUUGCCUGUGGACUAAUAUACCAGGGACCAUGCUUAUUGGAAAUGUGGAUAUGAUAAGAGUCAGUAACCACCAAGUCUUGGCGUGGGUGCCAUUCCUAUGAAUAAAGUGCAUCAGCUUCCAGUGAAAAUAUAGCUUUGGCUACUUAGGGGUCUUUUUAGUUUCUUUCUUUGUUUACAACUAUAUUCUGGGAAAGUGAGGUUGCUGGACAAGUGAAGUGGUUGCAUGCCAUCUCAAGCAAUUAGGAUAUAGGUCCUAAUUAAUUAACUGCAUGUAACCAAGAUUUUAAAUAAAGUGGCUUAAGAGUGCAUUUACAAUGGUA